Ochotona princeps (American pika) is the source of this 135-nucleotide small nucleolar RNA. Its record names the gene SNORA70. It matches the Rfam family "Small nucleolar RNA SNORA70". From Rfam's summary of the family: snoRNA U70 seems to be exclusive to mammals and is a member of the H/ACA class of snoRNA which contain H (ANANNA) and ACA box motifs. The record is from Ensembl. Lineage: Eukaryota; Metazoa; Chordata; Mammalia; Lagomorpha; Ochotonidae.
CUGCAACUGAUUAAGCCAACCAUCUCACUUAUUUCAUUGGCACCUGGUGUACAAUGGCUGCAAAGAGCAACUUCCAUGGUAGUAUAUGCAACCUGUUGCUUGUAUGGGUUGCCCUGAGGGACCUUGGAGACAGCC